GGCAGUGGUGGCUUAUUGGUUAAGGCGCUGGGUUAGUGAUCGGAAGGUUGGUGGUUCAAGCCCCAGCACUGCCA
Ameiurus melas (black bullhead) is the source of this 74-nucleotide non-coding RNA. NCBI's taxonomy places the organism in Eukaryota, Metazoa, Chordata, Actinopteri, Siluriformes, Ictaluridae. The record is from the annotation of a GenBank genome assembly.